RNAcentral lists this long non-coding RNA (231 nucleotides) under Bos taurus (domestic cattle). Its description in RNAcentral is "long non-coding RNA NONBTAT016208". The record is from RNAcentral. Lineage: Eukaryota; Metazoa; Chordata; Mammalia; Artiodactyla; Bovidae.
UCAGGAUUCAUGGUUUCCGUGGGAUUUUUGCUGUUUUUUAAUUGUCAGAAUUAUAGCUGAGGAAACAUUUUUUGUCUGGGCUAAUAGCUUUGGUAUUGAGAAGCUAUGCUAUAAAGUAACAAAGUCAUUCCUGGGUGCAAAAUUGUAACAGACAAUUCCAAGAAAACAGAUUUGUUACAGAAUUUCUACAGCUACAAUGUAAUGUAAGGUCCAAAGAAGCAGCUUCAUGAG